Molecule: ribosomal RNA, 570 nt
Filed under: Paroctopus digueti
Lineage: Eukaryota; Metazoa; Mollusca; Cephalopoda; Octopoda; Octopodidae
Description: partial 16S ribosomal RNA
Rfam family: Bacterial large subunit ribosomal RNA
Source: RNAcentral
UUUAUCAAAAACAUGUCUCUUUGAAAUUUAUUUAAUAAAGAGUUGGGCCUGCUCAAUGAUUUAAUAUUAAAUAGCUGCGGUAUUAUAACUGUACUAAGGUAGCAUAAUAAUUUGCCUUAUAAAUUAGGGCUAGAAUGAAUGGUUUGACGAGAAUUAGACUGUCUCUAUUUUAUUUAUUAGAAAUUAAUUUUUAUAGUGAAAAAGCUUGGAUAUAUUAAAGGGACGAGAAGACCCUAUUGAGCUUAAAAUUAUUAUAUGAAUAUUAAUAAUAUUUAAUUAAUAUUAUUUUUUAUUUUUAUUUAUUUAUAUAAUUUUGAUUGGGGUGAUCAAGGAAUAAAAAAAUUAAUUUAAUAACUUCCUUAAAUUUAUAUAUAGAUAAAUUAAUAAACCAUAUUUUUGCUUAUAAGAUAAGUUACCAUAGGGAUAACAGCGUAAUUUUUUUUGAGAGUUCAUAUUGAAAAAAAAGAUUGCGACCUCGAUGUUGGAUUAAAUAUAACCUUAAGGUGAAGAAGCUUUAUUAGGUGAAUCUGUUCGAUUUUUAAAAUUUUACGUGAUCUGAGUUCAGACCGG